UACGGAGGGGGCUAGCGUUGUUCGGAAUUACUGGGCGUAAAGGGCGCGUAGGCGGCGCUCCAAGUUAGGCGUGAAAGUCCUGGGCUCAACCUGGGAACUGCGCUUAAGACUGGAGUGCUUGAGGAUGGAAGAGGGUCGUGGAAUUCCCAGUGUAGAGGUGAAAUUCGUAGAUAUUGGGAAGAACACCGGUGGCGAAGGCGGCGACCUGGUCCAUUACUGACGCUGAGGCGCGACAGCGUGGGGGAGCAAACAGG
This 254-nucleotide ribosomal RNA is filed under the name uncultured bacterium. Its description in RNAcentral is "partial 16S ribosomal RNA". It matches the Rfam family "Bacterial small subunit ribosomal RNA", at positions 524 to 776 of the family's 1533-position model. The record is from RNAcentral.